Molecule: ribosomal RNA, 490 nt
Filed under: uncultured bacterium
Lineage: Bacteria
Description: bacterial SSU rRNA
Rfam family: Bacterial small subunit ribosomal RNA
Source: RNAcentral
AGGCCUAACACAUGCAAGUCGAGCGGUAACAGAAAGAAAGCUUGCUUUCUUUGCUGACGAGCGGCGGACGGGUGAGUAAUGCCUGGGAAUAUGCCUUAGUGUGGGGGAUAACUAUUGGAAACGAUAGCUAAUACCGCAUAACGUCCUUGUUCAUUACGAGCGGGACCAAAGAGGGGGACCUUCGGGCCUCUCGCGCUAAGAUUAGCCCAGGUGGGAUUAGCUAGUUGGUGAGGUAAAGGCUCACCAAGGCAACGAUCCCUAGCUGGUCUGAGAGGAUGAUCAGCCACACUGGAACUGAGACACGGUCCAGACUCCUACGGGAGGCAGCAGUGGGGAAUAUUGCACAAUGGGGGAAACCCUGAUGCAGCCAUGCCGCGUGUAUGAAGAAGGCCUUCGGGUUGUAAAGUACUUUCAGUCGUGAGGAAGGCAUCGUAGUUAAUAGCUGCAGUGCUUGACGUUAGCGACAGAAGAAGCACCGGCUAACUCCGUG